UACGGAGGGUGCAAGCGUUAAUCGGAAUAACUGGGCGUAAAGGGCAUGCAGGCGGUUAAACAAGUAGGAUGUGAAAGCCCGGGGCUCAACCUCGGAAUUGCAUUCUAAACUGUGUAACUAGAGUAUUGCAGGGGGAGACGGAAUUCCAGGUGUAGCGGUGGAAUGCGUAGAGAUCUGGAAGAACACCAAAGGCGAAGGCAGUCUCCUGGGCAAAUACUGACGCUCAUAUGCGAAAGCGUGGGUAGCAAACAGG
Molecule: ribosomal RNA, 253 nt
Filed under: Succinivibrio dextrinosolvens
Lineage: Bacteria; Pseudomonadati; Pseudomonadota; Gammaproteobacteria; Aeromonadales; Succinivibrionaceae
Description: partial 16S ribosomal RNA
Rfam family: Bacterial small subunit ribosomal RNA
Source: RNAcentral